UGCAAAAUGUUACAGCUCGCCCGCUAAAAAGGCAAGGAAAAGAAAUCCUGAGGCAGAAAUGGCUGCAACAAAAUAGGCUCUGGAUAAAGAAAGAAGUCAGACCCAGUCAACAUCAGUGCAGCGGUUGAGUGGUGGAGACAACUGGGGCAUGUGAAGGGCCUGAAAAGUGAUGCAGAGGUUGCUCUCUUUCUGUUGGACAGCCAUGAGAAUGGCUAAUGAGUCGGCCCAGUUUCCACGGGAUACGGUCGGCUGUGUUGCGGCUCCGAUCCCGUUUUCUCCGCCCCCUGGCAGUCCCCACCUGUUGUGGUUUGAGUCCGCCACGGCGCAGUAUGGUAGACAGCUGGCCUCACGAGGGGGGCUGAUGUCAACACGGAGUGUUUUAUUUUGAAAAUCAACCGGAUGUUGUUUGUUAUUCCGGCGCUUUACUUCCUGUCUGCUCCAUGCUAAAUUCAGCUGAUUUGCUGCGUUGUGCUCCAUCAUCUCCUUCUCUCUGCUGAGUCCCGCUGCCAGAUGUGCGUUCAAAUUUUUGGGGGCGGGGCUUUGGACGGAGCACUGACGGGAUGGGGAGGGGGAAUUUAGAGGAGGUGCCACUUUCAAAUCUUGCUAGCUCUCCAGCAUUGUAGACCCUAGCUUUAAUCCUUGACAGGAAAUGAAUUAAUCCUAAACAAAAAACAAACAAACAAAAAAACAAUGAGCUUAAACUCACUGUUGGCCUAAUCACAAUGUUUACUUACAAUGACUUCCGAAAGAGAGAAAGACAAGAAGACAUCUCCUGCGUUACACCUUACCAUACAUACCACUUAAUUGUCUUUUUAAAUGAUGUAAUGUCAAAUUGUAUUUGAUAAUUUAUCUAAAAUGUAUGUAUGAUGCUGUCAUAUCUUAUCAAUAACAAUGGCAAUGGCUAGCAUUUCCUACCGAUUUUAUAUAUCUCCAGUCAAAGGCCAGUUUUCUACCUGGAAAUAAUUGUUGUGACUGCGAUGCCAUACCUUUUAACUGGACGAUGAAAUUACUGUGAACAACAUAAAAAAACAAUGAUGCAGAUGUGUUCUCCAGUGUUUAGUGUUCUGCACAUGUGCUCACGCUCAUGAGAUCAUAGUAAGACUACACACUGGUGUAGAAUUACCAUGAGCCGAGCGUGUCGGGAAAAACUGUGAUGGUUAAUGAUGUCAUACACGUUACGGAGGCAGCAACACAGGAGCUGUGAAGAUGCAGCACUUGCUGUACGAACCAGUGGAGCAGAACGGUCUUAAUAGAAAAAUAAUACAAGCUAUGAGGAGCAGAGAGGGGAAGUUUUCCCCUUUGACUCUUCUCGUACUGUAUUAGAUUCUCCCAGUGCCGGCAGAUAUCAACAAAUCGUAGGCUACAGUAUUAUGUUACAAGAAUAAUUCAUUGUCUGAAUAAAAGGAGAACGUGGUGUAA
This is a long non-coding RNA of Acanthopagrus latus (yellowfin seabream), 1419 nucleotides long. RefSeq lists it as uncharacterized. The transcript is spliced from 2 exons. NCBI's taxonomy places the organism in Eukaryota, Metazoa, Chordata, Actinopteri, Spariformes, Sparidae. The record is from RefSeq and is a predicted model, not a curated record.